Regulatory RNA element from Planomicrobium sp., 134 nucleotides. It matches the Rfam family "FMN riboswitch aptamer (RFN element)". Rfam says of the family: The RFN element is a highly conserved domain that is found frequently in the 5'-untranslated regions of prokaryotic mRNAs that encode for flavin mononucleotide (FMN) biosynthesis and transport proteins. This element is a metabolite-dependent riboswitch that directly binds FMN in the absence of proteins. Lineage: Bacteria; Bacillati; Bacillota; Bacilli; Caryophanales; Caryophanaceae. The record is from Rfam.
AUUCAUCUUCGGGGCAGGGUGCAAUUCCCUACCGGCGGUAAUUGGACUGCAGUCCUUAAGCCCGCGAGCCGUAAAAAGCAGGAUUUGGUGAGAUUCCAAAGCCGACAGUAUAGUCUGGAUGGGAGAAGGUGAAG